RNAcentral lists this ribosomal RNA (497 nucleotides) under uncultured bacterium. Its description in RNAcentral is "partial 16S ribosomal RNA". It matches the Rfam family "Bacterial small subunit ribosomal RNA", at positions 28 to 507 of the family's 1533-position model. The record is from RNAcentral.
GAUGAACGCUGGCGGCGUGCCUAAUACAUGCAAGUCGAGCGAACAGAUGAGGAGCUUGCUCCUCUGACGUUAGCGGCGGACGGGUGAGUAACACGUGGAUAACCUACCUAUAAGACUGGGAUAACUUCGGGAAACCGGAGCUUAUACCGGAUAAUAUAUUGAACCGCAUGGUUCAAUAGUGAAAGACGGUUUUGCUGUCACUUAUAGAUGGAUCCGCGCCGCAUUAGCUAGUUGGUAAGGUAACGGCUUACCAAGGCAACGAUGCGUAGCCGACGUGAGAGAGUGAUAGGCGGCACUGGAGGGGGACCGCGGUCAAGGGUCCUGCGGGAGGCAGCAGAAGGGAAUGGUCCGCAGUGGGCGAAAACCUGACGGAGCAACGGGGCGUGAGUGGUGAAGGUCUUCGGAUCGUAAAGCUCUGUUAUUGGGGAAGAACAAAUGUGUAAGUAAAUAUGCACGUCUUGACGGUACCUAGUCAGAAAGCCACGGCUAACUACGUG